This 76-nucleotide transfer RNA is filed under the name Yersinia rohdei ATCC 43380. Its description in RNAcentral is "tRNA-Lys". Lineage: Bacteria; Pseudomonadati; Pseudomonadota; Gammaproteobacteria; Enterobacterales; Yersiniaceae. The record is from RNAcentral.
UGGUGGGUCGUGCGGGGUUCGAACCUGCGACCAAUUGAUUAAGAGUCAACUGCUCUACCAACUGAGCUAACGACCC